GAAAAGGAAGUUGGCACAUUUUGAGGGCAGAGGUGCAGGUGAAUGGUUGGGUUUAGGGGCUUUAUAGACCAGAGUAUGUGGUUGAGAACCCUGCCCCUGAACCUCAUUACAGACUGAGCUGCUUCCUGACCGAUUAUCCUAUCAGCUUGUGUCUCCAAACACUACCUCCUGGGGUUGCCACCACCGUACUCCCCAACUCUGCACUUAUUACAGGUUACCGUAAUUGUGAGUCUGGGUUCUGCCUGCCAGUCUGAAUUUUCUCCCAGAACCAGCAGAUGAGUCUAGUACCCUGAUAUCUAUCCUGCCAUCUCUGGAGCAGCGGGUGGUUCUAGUUCUGAGUCUAUUGAAGAUGGUUCAGCCCUUUAUACCCAGCUCCGUUUGGAGAAAAUAUUGCUGAGAAGUUCAGUGUUUAGUGGAAAUAGAGUAACAUCCUAAUGGUGUGGAGAGGAUUCAAGAAUUUUCUCUUGAGAGUAGACUAAAUAAUAUUUGAAAGACCUUUACACUUUGGGAAAUCUGUAAUUUAACACCAAUUGACUUUAGCUUUUAAAAAAUGCAUGAGAGAUUCUCAUGGUAAGCAUGUUGGAAAACCAAUCGUUAUGGGGUUUGUUUUGUCUUGUUUUAACUGUAAUACUUUCUUUCUCAGCACUUUCAUUACCACUGUCAGGAAUGGGUUUCAGAAACCACAAAAAAUUUCAUGGAAGAGACAGGAAAAGAAACUCUUGAAAGAAUUUCACACUGAAUGGAAAAGUUCCUUCUAGUCGUCUUCGAGUGAGCUAGUUCUCAAACAUUAUUCUCUGUAGUCUUCCUGAGAACUCAGACUACUGGUAUGACCCUGCUUGGAAUAUGACUGCUGGAUUCUAGCAAUGUGUUGAUCCCGGCCCCAAGACCCGCCCACGAAAAUGAUUAUUUUAACCCUGAGGACCUAGAUGUGGCCAGUCUUUGCUGGGACCACUGUCGUCAUCGUCAUCGUCACCAUCUGACACUGGCUUUUAUCAAGGGUUGCUCCCUGAGCCUGGAUGCCAAUCAUUCACCUCUCCCUGGCAAAAGUAAUAAAUCAUAGCGAGAAACUGACUGCUUUUGAAGAAUAUAGAAGAUAAAGAAACUGAGUGUUUGAGAACUGGAAGGUGGCAAAAAGCAGCAGGAGGCGAAGAGGAAAAGAUCAAGUGGAAAGAGUCACCACCAUGUGUACUUUGCUCAGCUCGGAACUUGAACCCUUCUACAGAGAUCACGUCUGUCUGAGCCUCUUGAAUCGCCAACCUUGUGAUAAACAAUAGGUAAAUGUAUCCAGGGAGAAACAGGGCAACACCAAGGAGACAACAGGGCCAUAGGACAGGUUCCAGGUACAGCUGAAGGGCCAUCUGGACACCCACUCCCACCCACUUUCGUCAGAGUCACCAAGCACAGUGGGGGGUCGGGGUGGAGCCACAGGCGCUGACAGAGUAGUGACUCCCCCACAACUUCCUCCUUCCUGCCCAGCUCAGCCUGUUUACUCAGCAGACUUGUCUGGUGUAAAGCUCUCAUCUUCCCCACAACAGGCCCCAUUUCUCCACCACCUUCCCAUACCACACAUAGCUGUAUUUCUUAAGGGAGGGAUUUUUCUUUUUACGUUAGCUGUAGACAGCAACCAAAGGUAAAUAACAAUUUGUCUAUAUUUUAUUAUUCGAUUCCUUAAAGAGGUUUCACUUCCUUUGUUGGGAGCAAUGAGCCAAGCAUGAAUAGGUUUUGUGGACACUAAGUCUCAAGUUUGACUGUGACUCCACUUUGGCACUCUACCUGACCUUCUCCGGUAGUGCCGGGCACCUGCCUUACCUUAUUAAGUUAAUUAAAGUUUGGCUACUAAUGACACUCUUCUGGUUCUCCUCCUAACUUGGUGGCUGUCCAUCUAAGUGUCCUUCCCAGGGUCCUCCUCCAAUCAUUAAUAUUGGUAGUCACUAGAAUUCAAUCCUUUCCACAUACACUUCCCGAAUAAUCUCCUUUUGGUGCACCACUAGCUAGAUGUGUGACCUUGGGCAAGUUAUUGGCCUCUGUGUGCCUCAGUUCUUUCAUCUGUGAAAUGAAAAUAAUAAUAUUAUGUGCCUCCUUGGGUUGUUGUGAAGAUUACAUGGGUUGAUAUAAGUAACAUUCUUUUUUUGAAUUUUACUAAGUUUUUAAUUUUAAUUCCAGUGUAGUUAACAUACAGUGUUCUAUUAGUUUCAGUUGUAUGACACAGUAAUUCAGUAAUUCUAUACACUACUCAAUACUUAUCAUGAUAAGGGUACUCUUAAUCCUCAUCACCUAUUUCACUCAUCUCCCCACCCACCUCCCAUCUGGUAACCAUCUGUUUGUUCCCUAUAGUUAAGGAUCUGUUUCUUGGGGUACCUGGGUGGCUCAGUUGAUUAAGUGUCUCACUCUUGGUUUUAGCUCAGGUCAUAAUCUCAUGACUCGCGAAUUCAAGUCCCACAUCGGGCUCUGCGCUGACAGCACAGAGCCUGCUUGGGAUUCUCUGUCUCCCUCUCUCUCUGCCCCUCCUACCCCCUCUCACACUCUCUCUCUGUCUCAAAAAUAAACAUUUUUU
Acinonyx jubatus (cheetah) is the source of this 2554-nucleotide long non-coding RNA. RefSeq lists it as uncharacterized. The transcript has 4 exons. NCBI's taxonomy places the organism in Eukaryota, Metazoa, Chordata, Mammalia, Carnivora, Felidae. The record is from RefSeq and is a predicted model, not a curated record.